GCCAGGCAUGGUGGCGCAUGCCUGUAGUCCCAGCUACUCGGGGGGCUGAGGCAGGAGAAUUGCUUGAACCCAGGAGGCGGAGGUUGCGGUGAGCCGAGAUUGCGCCACUGCACUCCAGCCUGGGUGACAGAGCAAGACUCUGUCUCAA
RNAcentral lists this small RNA (148 nucleotides) under Pongo abelii (Sumatran orangutan). RNAcentral describes it as "Metazoan signal recognition particle RNA (ENSPPYG00000034642.1)". It matches the Rfam family "Metazoan signal recognition particle RNA". From Rfam's summary of the family: The signal recognition particle (SRP) is a universally conserved ribonucleoprotein. It is involved in the co-translational targeting of proteins to membranes. The record is from Rfam by way of RNAcentral. Lineage: Eukaryota; Metazoa; Chordata; Mammalia; Primates; Hominidae.